This is a long non-coding RNA of Xenia sp. Carnegie-2017, 126 nucleotides long. RefSeq lists it as uncharacterized. The record is from RefSeq and is a predicted model, not a curated record. The transcript is spliced from 3 exons. Lineage: Eukaryota; Metazoa; Cnidaria; Anthozoa; Malacalcyonacea; Xeniidae.
AGUACAUGGGGUUUUUUUAUAUACAUAGAUUCUUUACCAACAAAAUUAUUACAUUAUCCACCUGAUUCUACAGGAUAUAAAAAAUGUAAAGAUCUCCCAACAUUUAUACAUACACUAAUUACAAAA